RNAcentral lists this ribosomal RNA (459 nucleotides) under uncultured bacterium. Its description in RNAcentral is "partial 16S ribosomal RNA". It matches the Rfam family "Bacterial small subunit ribosomal RNA", at positions 338 to 795 of the family's 1533-position model. The record is from RNAcentral.
CCUACGGGUGGCAGCAGUGAGGCAUAUUGGUCAAUGGUCGGGAGACUGAACCAGCCAAGCCGCGUGAGGGAGGAAGGUACAGAGUAUCGUAAACCCCUUUUGUCAGGGCACAAAGACUGGGACGCGUCCCCGGAUGAGUGUACCUGAAGAAAAAGCAUCGGCUAACUCCGUGCCAGCAGCCGCGGUAAUACGGCGGAUGCGAGCGUUAUCCGGAGUUAUUGGGUGGAAAGGGUGCGCAGGCGGUCUGUUAAGUCAGCGGUCAAAGCCUGGGGCUCAACCCCGGCGCGCCGUUGAAACUGGCUGUCGUGAGUUGGAGAGAAGUAUGCGGAAUGCGCGGUGUAGCGGUGAAAGGCAUAGAUAUCGCGCAGAACUCCGAUUGCGAAGGCAGCAUGCCGGCUCCACACUGACGCUGAGGCACGAAAGCGUGGGUAUCGAACAGGAGUAGAUACCCCUGUAGUC